AGUAGUUUGUAUCCUGGGCUACAGGAUAAACGCUGGCGGCGCACAUAAGACAUGCAAGUCGAAGGACUUUAACCAUUAGUUUUACUAUUGGAGCGGUUUAGUGGCGGACUGGUGAGUAACACUAAGCAACCUGCCUAUCAGAGGGGAACAACAGUUAGAAAUGACUGCUAAUACCGCAUAUGCCUUAGUAACACAUGUUAACAAAAGGGAAAGAAGCAAUUCGCUGAUAGAUGGGCUUGCGUCUGAUUAGAUAGUUGGUGGGGUAACGGCCUACCAAGUCGACGAUCAGUAGCCGGACUGAGAGGUUGAACGGCCACAUUGGGACUGAGGUACGGCCCAGACUCCUACGGGAGGCAGCAGUCGGGAAUAUUGCGCAAUGGAGGAAACUCUGACGCAGUGGCGCCGCGUGCGGGAAGAAGGUUUUCGGAUUGUAAACUGCUUUAGACAGGGAAGAAACAAGACAGUACCUGUAGAAUAAGCUCCGGCUAACUACGUG
RNAcentral lists this ribosomal RNA (496 nucleotides) under uncultured Oscillospiraceae bacterium. RNAcentral describes it as "bacterial SSU rRNA". It matches the Rfam family "Bacterial small subunit ribosomal RNA", at positions 1 to 507 of the family's 1533-position model. The record is from RNAcentral. Lineage: Bacteria; Bacillati; Bacillota; Clostridia; Eubacteriales; Oscillospiraceae.